AGUCCCAGGCUCGCCCCGGCCCGGCCGCCGGCCCGCGCGCACCUGCAGCCGCUAACAGUCCCCCUCUCCGCCCUGGGGGAGCCGGGGAGGAUGUGCAGCCCCACUCCUCCUGCUCGGCGGAGCCUCGCGCGCGCAGAGCCUAGCGCGAUUCGCGCCCUCAUUACCACUACAAAGCGCGGGCCAGACCAAUCCCCUUUCUAAUGCACCAUUUUCGAAUGAGAACAUCAAGAGGCCAGAAACUUCCAAGUCAGCUUGCAGACGCAGACGCCUCCUGGGGUCCUGGCUUUAAGAACCAGAUGCCAACAUUCCCGGACAGUUUAUGGCAUCCGGAUCCCUCAAGGGUGCUCAUCUGCAGUUGAGAGUCUAAUAAAUGGCAUUAACAAAGCGUUUCAACGACUACCACGGCUUAACAGUGGCUCCUCCCCUGUCCUGCCA
Molecule: non-coding RNA, 435 nt
Filed under: Pongo abelii (Sumatran orangutan)
Lineage: Eukaryota; Metazoa; Chordata; Mammalia; Primates; Hominidae
Source: RNAcentral